UCAGCCAAAACGAGGCACGGCAAACAGCUCAGUAACACGUGGCUAAUCUGCCCUUAGGACGCGAACAACCCCGGGAAACUGGGGCUAAUUCUCGAUAGGUGAAGAACUCUGGAAUGAGUCUUUGCCUAAAAGAGCUUACGUUAUGCUCGUAAGUUUCGCCUAAGGAUGAGGCCGCGACCGAUCAGGUUGUUGGUGAGGUAAUGGCUCACCAAGCCUUUUACCGGUGCGGGCCGUGAGAGCGGGAGCCCGGAGAUGGGCACUGAGACAAGGGCCCAGGCCCUACGGGGCGCAGCAGUCGCGAAAACUUUGCAAUACACGAAAGUGUGACAGGGCUAUCCCGAGUGCCAUCCGCUGAGGAAGGCUUUUACCCAGUCUAGAACGCUGGGGGAAUAAGGAGAGGGCAAGUCUGGUGUCAGCCGCCGCGGUAAUACCAGCUCUCCGAGUGGUGUGGAUGUUUAUUGGGCCUAAAGCAUCCGUAGCUGGCUAGGUAAGUCCCCUGUUAAAUCCACCGAAUUAAUCGUUGGAUCGCGGGGGAUACUGCUUGGCUAGGGGACGAGAGAGGCAGACGGUAUUUUUGGGGUAGGGGGUGAAAUCCUAUAAUCCCAGGAAGACCACCAGUGGCGAAGGCUGUCUGCUAGAACGCGCCCGACGGUGAGGGAUGAAAGCUGGGGGAGCGAACCGGAUUAGAUACCCGGGUAGUCCCAGCUGUAAACGAUGCAGACUAGGUGUUUGGACGGCCACGUGCCGUUCUAGUGCCGCAGGGAAGCUGUUAAGUCUGCCGCCUGGGGAGUACGAUCGCAAGAUUGAAACUUAA
Molecule: ribosomal RNA, 814 nt
Filed under: uncultured crenarchaeote
Lineage: Archaea; Thermoproteati; Thermoproteota
Description: bacterial SSU rRNA
Rfam family: Archaeal small subunit ribosomal RNA
Source: RNAcentral